This is a long non-coding RNA of Sapajus apella (tufted capuchin), 1144 nucleotides long. RefSeq lists it as uncharacterized. The record is from RefSeq and is a predicted model, not a curated record. The transcript has 4 exons. NCBI's taxonomy places the organism in Eukaryota, Metazoa, Chordata, Mammalia, Primates, Cebidae.
CAGAGGGCCCCGCGUGCGGGCCCCCGCAGAGGCGGCCUUCCAAGGCGAGUUAGGGACCCCUGCGAAGGUCGAGCGAGGCGGCCGGUGAUGCUGAAGUGUGCGUGUGUCCAUGUAUUCCACAGACACUGUGCGCCUCCUCUGUGCAAUGGGCUUGUUGCUAGCCGGGGAAGUGGGAAAGACCCUGCUUUCGGGGAGCAAGCGUAUGACCCUUUGGACAAGGCUGACUAUAAAAAUGCAAACAUAUCCACAAGAUAAUGGUCCUGACUUAUGCUGUAAGAGGGACACGGCAAGGGAGUGAGGCAGCGUCAGAGCGCGGGGCACUUGCAACUUCAUCAAAAGCUCUGUUUCCAGGUCUGCUGUUGUGUGAUCUCCAAGCGCCUUUGCCUGUCUGGUUGCUAUUUCAUCUGUACAGUGCAGGAGCUGUUUUGGUUGAUCCGAAACACCUUUUUAAUUUUUUUCUACCACAACUGCUAAGCCCGGUUCAACCAGUGAAGGUGUGACCUGCGCAGAGUUCCUGGAUGUGCUCUGGACUUACUUGCCUUCCUGGUUUCUGGGUAGCCAGCCUCUACCGUGAACAAGGGUGAGUACCUAAGACAUUUUUAAGUACCCUUUAAAGACCUCUAGGCAACCAUAACAGAGGUCAACAAAUGAAACCCAAGUAUGAAUAAACAGGAAGAAGAGUCUGAAGAUUGCAGUGGACCGUCUAAUGGUGCAGUGUAUCACCCACAGUACUCACUGAAGGGACAGUCUCGAGCCGGCCACCUUAGCGCCUUCCCUUCUCGGCCUUGCUGAUAAACCCUGAGGGAACCAGGACCCAAGGCAGCCAAUCCAGAGAUGUAUCAUGUGCCUUGGCAGAAAAAUAGAUGGGCUGCCUUAGGAACGUGAAAGAGGAGUUCCCGCAGGGAGGAGACCAGCAGCUGGUGCAGGAAUUGAAAGGAGAAGAGAGGUCAGAGAGUGACCACGUGACUCGGAGAGUGCUGGAGUAACCAGCCAGCCCCCAGAGUGAGCCUCACCCUCUCCUGCCUCUGGUCCAGGCUCUGUCCCAGUUUGUUGCACUCAUCUUGAAAGCAAGCUCAGCCCUUCUUUUUAAAAAAAAUUUUUUUGAGACAGGGUCUUGCUCUGUCACUCAGGCUGGAGUGCAAUG